This 468-nucleotide ribosomal RNA is filed under the name uncultured bacterium. RNAcentral's name for it is "partial 16S ribosomal RNA". It matches the Rfam family "Bacterial small subunit ribosomal RNA", at positions 27 to 507 of the family's 1533-position model. The record is from RNAcentral.
GGACGAACGCUGGCGGCGUGCUUAACACAUGCAAGUCGAACGGAAAGGCCCUGCUUUUGUGGGGUGCUCGAGUGGCGAACGGGUGAGUAACACGUGAGUAACCUGCCCUUGACUUUGGGAUAACUUCAGGAAACUGGGGCUAAUACCGGAUAGGAGCUCCUGCUGCAUGGUGGGGUUUGAAAGGUUCGGCGGUUGGGGAUGGACUCGCGGCUUAUCAGCUUGUUGGUGGGGUAGUGGCUUACCAAGGCUUUGACGGGUAGCCGGCCUGAGAGGGUGACCGGCCACAUUGGGACUGAGAUACGGCCCAGACUCCUACGGGAGGCAGCAGUGGGGAAUAUUGCACAAUGGGCGGAAGCCUGAUGCAGCAACGCCGCGUGCGGGAUGACGGCCUUCGGGUUGUAAACCGCUUUCGCCUGUGACGAAGCGUGAGUGACGGUAAUGGGUAAAGAAGCACCGGCUAACUACGUG